GUCCACGCCCUAAACGAUGCACACUAGAUCGGUGCGGGUUUCACCCCGUAUUGGUCGUAGAGAAAUUGAUAAGUGUGCCGCCUGGGAAGUACGGUCGCAAGGCUAAAACUCAAAGAAAUUGACGGGGGCUCACACAAGCGGUGGAGCAUGUUGCUUAAUUCGAAGCAACGCGAAGAACCUUACCUGGGUUUGACAUGCACGGAUUAGUUCCUGGAAACAGGAAUGAGGCCCGCAAGGGUACAACGUGCACAGGUGCUGCAUGGCUGUCGU
RNAcentral lists this ribosomal RNA (270 nucleotides) under uncultured bacterium. RNAcentral's name for it is "partial 16S ribosomal RNA". It matches the Rfam family "Bacterial small subunit ribosomal RNA", at positions 793 to 1055 of the family's 1533-position model. The record is from RNAcentral.